This is a long non-coding RNA of Esox lucius (northern pike), 865 nucleotides long. Lineage: Eukaryota; Metazoa; Chordata; Actinopteri; Esociformes; Esocidae. The record is from Ensembl.
AAGGGUUAUUAAUCUUAUAAAAUAAUUUAAGUGCAUUGGUGAAGUAUUAAAUGUUUUUUUUUCAAGAGGGCACUGAUUUGUUAAUGCAGUGUUUGACAGAUGCAAUGUAGCUGCUUACUAAUGGAUUUGUAAUUGAUGAAGUAACACUUAAUAAGUCUUGCAAAAGUCGGGUUUGAGGUUAGGCUCCUUGGACGAACACUGGAAUGUGUCAUCUGGGCAGAAGCAGGUAGCAAUCAAACGAAGACAGUUCAGGACUGUUGCCACCAGCAUAAGAAAUCCUGAGUGGUUGGGAAAAGAAAUACGACAUGUAAUGUAACUGUUAUAUAUUAAAUUAACGCACACAUUAAACUAACACAUCUAAAUAUUAUUAUGAUUUAUUUAAUUAACUUAAGCUUGGCACUGCUUCAAUUACAGUAUAAUGUGCUUUUUAGGAGGUUAAAUCAUGUGAAAACGAAUCUCAUGUCUACAUUAAUCAGGAUUGUCUUAGUAAAUCCAGAAUAAUACAACAGUUUGUGAUUUACUCCACAGUGUCCUCUAUUAAAAUCUAUAUUCUUACCGCAGUAGACUGUGUUAGGUGGAAGGUCAUGGACACGAUAUCCUCUGGAGAACAUCGCACCCAGGCCCAGAAUCAACACGGGGUGAGCAUCCCCAGAAGGAGUAGUGUAAGGACCAAGGAGCUAACCAAAGAGUCAGACACCCCAGCCUGGUAUCGCAUCACCACUCCCAGACUGAUUAAUGCCUCCAGAAGGGUCCACCAGCCAAACAGCGCCAAUCCAUUCUGGGUCUGCCUCACACAACAACGACACUCAUUUAGAGGAACCAUCAUAAAGAUAUGUGAUGUGUAUAUAAUAAAAUGAGAUGUGCU